This is a non-coding RNA of Algibacter sp., 110 nucleotides long. The record is from Rfam. Lineage: Bacteria; Pseudomonadati; Bacteroidota; Flavobacteriia; Flavobacteriales; Flavobacteriaceae.
AUAAUCACGAGUUGGUCAUCAAGUAGAGAAGUCAGCAGAAGUCAUAGUACUUACUUAUUGGAAACGAGUUGUGCCGCAGUAACACAUAGGUCUCACGAGUAAGGAAGAAC